Molecule: ribosomal RNA, 252 nt
Filed under: uncultured bacterium
Lineage: Bacteria
Description: partial 16S ribosomal RNA
Rfam family: Bacterial small subunit ribosomal RNA
Source: RNAcentral
ACGGGUGCGUAACGCGUAUGCAACCUGCCUGACACAGGGGGAUAAUCCGAAGAAAUUUGGUCUAAUACCCCAUAAUACCGAUAUAGGCAUCUAUGUUGGUUGAAAGCUUUGGUGGUGUCAGAUGGGCAUGCGUUGUAUUAGCUAGUUGGUGAGGUAACGGCUCACCAAGGCGACGAUACAUAGGGGGACUGAGAGGCUAACCCCCCACACUGGUACUGAGACACGGACCAGACUCCUACGGGAGGCAGCAUG